This 489-nucleotide ribosomal RNA is filed under the name uncultured bacterium. RNAcentral describes it as "partial 16S ribosomal RNA". It matches the Rfam family "Bacterial small subunit ribosomal RNA", at positions 28 to 507 of the family's 1533-position model. The record is from RNAcentral.
GAUGAACGCUAGCUACAGGCUCAACACAUGCAAGUCGAGGGGCAGCAUGAACUUAGCUUGCUAAGUUUGAUGGCGACCGGCGCACGGGUGAGUAACACGUAUCCAACCUGCCGAUGACUCGGGGAUAGCCUUUCGAAAGAAAGAUUAAUACCCGAUGGCAUAGUUCUUCCGCAUGGUAGAACUAUUAAAGAAUUUCGGUCAUCGAUGGGGAUGCGUUCCAUUAGGUUGUUGGCGGGGUAACGGCCCACCAAGCCUUCGAUGGAUAGGGGUUCUGAGAGGAAGGUCCCCCACAUUGGAACUGAGACACGGUCCAAACUCCUACGGGAGGCAGCAGUGAGGAAUAUCGGUCAAUGGACGAGAGUCUGAACCAGCCAAGUAGCGUGAAGGAUGACUGCCCUAUGGGUUGUAAACUUCUUUUAUACGGGAAUAAAGUGAGGCACGUGUGCCUUUUUGUAUGUACCGUAUGAAUAAGGAUCGGCUAACUCCGUG